Molecule: long non-coding RNA, 2389 nt
Organism: Sciurus carolinensis (gray squirrel)
Lineage: Eukaryota; Metazoa; Chordata; Mammalia; Rodentia; Sciuridae
Exons: 3
Source: RefSeq, a predicted model, not a curated record
CAUCACCAACACCACCACCUUCGCCAUCACUAUUAUCACCACUACCAUCAUCAUAAUCACCACCACAACCAUCACCAUCACCAUCGCCAUCACUCUUAUCAUCAUCGUCACCAUUACCACCACUGGGGUAAAUAAAUGUACCCGAGCCUGACCUCGCCAGGCAAUUACAGCUGUUUUCAUUGUGGGAGUCGGCUUCCAGCCUCCAGCCCAGGCCCACGUUCAACAGAGGGUGGAUUCCCACCCUCUUUAUGACCAGCUGGUUCUGAUUAGAGAUGAACCAGGAAAGCAUGGAGCAAUAAAGCACAGUCGCCCCGUGUCCCCACAUGUAGCACUCUUCCAUGUGUUUUGAUUUACUGGUCGACCCAUAACACCCAGCCCUUCAACAAGCUGGACUCUGUACCUCACGGACUUGUUUAUCAUGGUAAAAGCAGCCUUUUAGAGAUUCGAAUAGGGCCCACAUAGGCUUGAUAAAGGUGUGUGUGAGAGUUUACCUUAGUGUGUGCUGUGAGAACAUGUGUGUGUGAACAUGUGUAAAUGUGUGGGUGAGAUGGCAGGCUGUGAGAACAUGUGUGAGCAUGUGUGAGCUUGCAGCAUGUGGAAACGUGUGUGUGUGAACAUGUGUGAGCUUGCGGGUGUGAGGAUGUGUGUGUUGACAUGUGUGAGCUUGCAGCACAUGGGGACAUGUGUGGACAGGUGUGUGGUGUGUGUGAGCGGGUGUGUGCAGGUGAGUGGUGCCCUGGGCAGGGCUGGCUCUCUUGCACAGGCUGCUCGGGUGUCCGUGUCCACACAGUGCUCCCGUGGGCGCGGUGGCCUGUGCAUGAAGGAAUAGCACCCAGGGUGCCUCCUGAGCAGCUGCUCUCCUGCUCUCCAGUGCCCCUUGAUGGCGGCUGUCACUCAGCAGUCCCUAGGGCCCUGUGCUGGAUAGACUUGUUGAUCAUCAAAGCGGGAGGUUUUAAAGUGAAGUCACACGGUGGCUUGGGAGAAGUUCAGCAGAGUUCCAGAUGGCACCAAGUGGCCUGGGGCAAGUCCACUAGGAUAGGACGCUCUGGGAAGCCCUGAAAGACAGUCCAUCAGAGCAGACGGUGGCAGGUGGUCUGCAGGCCUUGCUCCCAGCCUGGCUGAGCUGUGUGGCUUGGGUUCAGCUGGUGCUCUGGAGCUCAGCACCACACAGCAGGACCAGGGAGGGAGAGUCCUGGGGCCUCUGGGGAGAUGGGUUUUGCCUGGUAUCCUGGACUCUGUUCAGAAGAAAAGCAAAGGUGGUCUGAGCAUGGGCUUGUGGCUGAGUGCCAGGAUCUCAGCAGCAGAGGAGCGUGAUCCCCAGGAGCCUCGUGCAUGCCAGGCAGGUUCGUGGUCAGAAACACGGCCCCUGUGAGAGCAGCGCCUGUCUUGGAGCUCGCCCCCCUGGCGGGAGACAGCCAGCAAGUGGCCAAGCAAAGCUGACCAGUAGGAGGUCGCAGCACUUGAUGACACAGAGCCCUGCGUGAGAUGACCAGGGAAGCUCUCCUGAGGGUCACGAUGUGCGGAAGCUGAAGAGAAGGGGAGCAGCCCUCCCCGCCUGACCCUGGGAGCAGAGAGGAAGAGGGUCCCGAGGAGUGGCCUCAGGUGCAGGGCCGGGCAGGCAUGGCUGGUCUCCCCGCAGCAGGAGGCGUCUGCAGGAUGGAGCCGCGAGCUGAGGCCACAUUGGUGCCUCAGCCCGUGCUGUGCCCUGAAAACCCAGAAGCCCAGCUUCGCCCUAGAGAGCAGGAGCUGUGGCCGCUGGGCCAGGGCUGUCCAGAGGGCACCCAGAGCCGCAGUGCAGUGCUGGGCCAGCAGCAGUGUGUCUGGGCACAGGUGAGCCCCGAGGGGCCUGUAUCUGCAUGGCGUCCAUGGAGACAAACGUGGGGCUGAGGCCCGGGAAGGUGCUCGGGUGUGAAGGAAGGAAGAAGAAGCGGGAACAAAUAUUCCCUACUUGUCACUUUUCAAGGAAGACAAUGAGCAGAGGAAAUGUCCAGUCGCUUCCUUUUCCAGAGGGCCAUCUCAGCAGCGUGAGCCCCUAGAUCUUGUCUGAUGGCACUGAGGCCAAUUUUCAGUAGGCGAAUGGAGAGAAGCUGGGCCUUCCCAUUAAGCCAACCAACCAAACAGGGCAUUUAAGAUGAGGAAACUGAGGCCCAAAGAGUGAAACUCCUCUGUUCAAUCUCAAGAGGAACCAUUUGGAAAUACUCAUUCUGGGAGCUGUGGCUCAGAAGAGUUGGAGAUAAAAGGUUUCGUUUCCUCGGCGGCAGCAACCAUAACUAUAAAACUUGUUUUUCACUCAUUUGAAUCUAAAGGUCAGCAAGGUCUCUGUGCUUGUCUAUCCUUUCUUUCUUCCUUCACUAUGUAUGUAUUUUUAAACAAUCAGAGCUCCAUUUCA